UUGUCUCAAAGAUUAAGCCAUGCAUGUCUCAGUACAAGCCAAAUUAAGGUGAAACCGCGAAAGGCUCAUUAAAUCAGUUAUGGUUCCUUAGAUCGUACCCACAUUUCCUUGGAUAACUGUGGUAAUUCUAGAGCUAAUACAUGCAAAUAGAGUUCCAACCGGAGACGGGAGGAGCGCUUUUAUUAGAUCAAAACCAAUCGGU
Molecule: ribosomal RNA, 202 nt
Filed under: Cyclaxyra politula
Lineage: Eukaryota; Metazoa; Arthropoda; Insecta; Coleoptera; Cyclaxyridae
Description: partial 18S ribosomal RNA
Rfam family: Eukaryotic small subunit ribosomal RNA
Source: RNAcentral